Molecule: long non-coding RNA, 3671 nt
Organism: Physeter macrocephalus (sperm whale)
Lineage: Eukaryota; Metazoa; Chordata; Mammalia; Artiodactyla; Physeteridae
Exons: 7
Source: RefSeq, a predicted model, not a curated record
AAACCUGGGUUCAGUCCCUGGUUCUUCCCAGGUACCAAAUGGAUGAUUUGAGGCAAGUUGUUUUGGCCUCUCUGAAUUUGUUUCCUCCUCUGUCUAAGCCUGUCCUUUAUGGUUGCAUUAAAGAAUAAAACAGAAAAUAUGUCCCGGGUCUGGUGCGUGGCAGGCUAUCAGUAAAUAUUAGGGCUGUUGAUGCCCUUUCUCCACUCCUGGCCCAUUCUGAAAGGAAGAGAGAGCAGCUGUCUGUCUCUAAAAUAGAACCACCGCCAUCCCAUACUAGCCCAAGACUAAGGGGUCUCGUAGGGUACUUUUACCCUUUGAAGUAGCCUCCUGAGUCUCCCGCCUUCACUGCCCCAAACUUUUAAAGGGAAGGGGCAUCUCUGGAGAGAGGCUUGGUGGUGCUGGCACCAUUCUCUGAAAUUAAUGCCUAAUUUUUUUCUUUUGUUUUAGAGUCAACCAUUAACAAAACACCAGAUGAGUGUGUCUGAGGACUCCUCAGGGAGGGAGGCCCAUCUGGAAAGGGGACUCAGGCUGUCGGCGCUGGUGCACUCCAUGCUUAAUCUCAGUCUCGGCUCCCUGGAGGCAGACUGCUUGAAUUAUGCUCUUACGAGAGAGGGACAGUUAUCUCAGGGCUGGAGGAGGAAGUGAUUUAUUCCAGCUGGUCGGCUUGAAGGAAUGUGAACUUAGGCUGAGUUGGCAGCACAGAGAUUUUCAAGUGUGACAUCACCUCCCAGUCGGGAAAGUUGACGAAGUCUGAUCCCAGCCUGAAAGUUGUGAUUUCCCCUGGCUCUCUGGAAUUCUAGGUGUUCCUGGAUUUGCCAGAGGCAUUCUGUUGCCCUCAGCAGUGUGAGUCUUGGAGCUCCAUUCUCCCUUCUCACCUUAUUGCUGCGUGAGAAUUCACAGGCCACUGGCAGGAUGGGAGCCUUCUAGCCAGCCUCCGGAUUGCAGAAAAUAUAAAAAUACAGCUUCAAGACACAUGCCCUGGACUCUGCUCUCAGACUGCCAACCAUAAGCUCCCACUGGUUCCUUGGACUUUGCACAGGUUCUCUUAUUCAACGCUUGCAAUAACUAUAUGAACAGGAAACAACGAAGGAGCUGAGCUCUGUGACCAGUUUCGAUACCAGCUGAAACCAAAACAUGAGCAGAUACACAAGAGCAAAGAAUCAGAAGAUGCCAGAAGUGAGGCUCCUGUUGUGCCAUGCCCUUUCUCGUCACACCCAGCUGUGUUCUCUCCCUGCCCCAGGCCUCCGCAGCCAGGUGAGGAAACAGUUUGGGAGUGAACUGACUGGCCAGUGUUCUGGGGCUAGUAAUGGAAUGAGCUGAUCAACAUUGGAACCUCAUUCUUCUGACUCCAAGCUCACGGUGUGUGGGCUUGAGCUCUGAGCCCACAGGAAGCGCCGGCUCCCGCUAAGCCGCCAGUUAGGCCAUGAGUGAGUAUUUGGAGUAGGAGUAUGUACGCAGUGAGUACAUGCGAUCCCAGAACCAGAAUUUCUGUCUCAGGCAACCCUCAAGGCUCUUAAAAUGCAGACGUCAUUGUACAGCCGUUGAACUUUAGAGGGGAAGAUUAUUUCUUUUAUGGCAAAAUUCAUUCAUUCAUUUAUUCAUGUGUUCAUUCACUCAACAAGUAUAUAUAUUAAGCAAUACUCCAUCUCCAAUAAACGCAAGCCAAUUUGCCAAAAAUCAGCACCCCACUAAAACCCCAUCUGCAACAUAAUCAACUCACUCCAUUUGUCGAUUUAAUCACUUUGUUAACUGACUAGUUUACUAGUUUUACCAAAUUUACUCAUUUUAUGAGCUUGAACAGUAAUGUUUUAACAAUUAAAAUAUUGGCUAUACAGACAUAGUAGAAAUCAACAUUUUUUCCACAUGAAAUACUACUUUUCCAGGCAAAAUUCCAGCCUUUAACUAACUAUACGAUGGGAUUAUUUUGGCUGCCUCUGGUUUCUUUAUGUGCUUUAUUUUCAAACUUGAAACAUUUAAAUAUUUUUUUGUCAGUUUCUUGAAAGGAUAUAAGCUUGAACUUUAUAGGGGCAGUGCAGGGAAAUGGCUACGUAGGAAGGCCUGGACCUGGACCCAGCCUGCCUGGGGUGUCAGCCCAGCUCUGCCACUUUCUUAGGGACAGCUUACUUGUACAUAUGUGAUGUGAUCUCAGCCAUUUUAUGUACAAACACUGGGGGAAGAAAAAACACAUCAUGAUAAUAACGGGGUUAUUUCUGGGUGGUGGGAUCGUGAGUAACUUUACUUGCCUUCCUCAUAACUUUUGUCAGUAAAAAGAAUUAAUCAAUGGUCAAUCUAAGAAAGAAAGGGAAAAUUUUAUUCGAGCCAAGCUGAGGACUAUAGCCCAGAAGACAGCCGGCUACUCUGAGAAACUGCACUGAAGAGGUAAGGGGAGAGGUCAGUAAUGUGAUGAUUUGGGGGAAGAGGGUAUGUGCAAUCAAGCACACAUCUCAGUAGAAGGUUGCUGCUAGUCACAAGAAACAGACAGCUUAGGUGAUAAUUGUAGUACUUUUCUAAGUAUGGGAAGAUGCAAGAAUCCAGGUCAUAAAAAAUUUUCCCUUAAAAUAUCUAACUAUCUAAAGGCCUGUUCUGCCAGAUUUCCCAGAGUACAGAGUGCCACAUUCCAGAUCUUCACUCUGAAUUGCUUUCUCGGGUGUAUUGUACGUCAGCAACCGCAGUGGCUAAUCACUUGAUUCUUGUAGAACUAGAUGGUGGGCAACAUUCUUUAUUUUACGAUCACUUCCCUUUUGGUCUUAAUUUCAACCAAGGUUUGGGAGGCAUUUGGUGACCAAUUUGUCCCACGGUGCUAGAAAUGCUCGUUCCCAGGUUAGGUGAGGAUUUCAUUGAUAGGCCACUCAACGUGCUAUUACUGGACCAGGCCCUGUGAACAGUAGCCCAAAGUCUGUUGUGGUCCAGGAAAUGGUUCCCUCUUGUUGCUUCUUCCCAUAUAGAGAUACACCAUUACAAUCCUUGAUCAUAUAGAACUAUAUAUUUGGCCAAUCAUUUCAAGUCACCUAAUCAUCAUUAAUUUUAUCUGAGGCUCAGUCACAUAUUUGAUAAUGCAAGAAAUAAUCUUAUAAAAUAGCAAAAUACAAGUAAUAUAGCUGGUAACAUUAAUAAGAUCAUAAGUAAGUAUUUAAGCUGAGAACUUCCAUUAGCUGUGGCCCAGUAUCUCCCCAGGUAGUCUAACCAGUCUGUUCUGCAUUAAGUGAUGAUAUAUUGACAUGGUACAUAAAGUUCACCAAAGAUGUCUGCACAUACAAGGUGAGUGGUGGGUCAUCGUGACCCCUUACAGGAUUGAGAAAGGAAUGUUAUCUUCUAAGGAGUUACAUAGCUGGCACCAGAAGGAGAAAAAUUGAUCUUUAUGGUUGAGCAGGUAUUUCUGCUGUUGGGGAAGUCUGGUUAACACAUAAUGUAGAUGCACAAUGCACACUACAGGGGAGAGAGGAAGCCAAAGGGCAGAGAAAAAGUUUUAUGUUUAAAUUUUUCUUGUCUUGCCUUAAAAUGUGAAUUUUAUUUCAACACUUUUCUAUAUGUUUUAAGACAUCCUUUUAAUGAUUUUAAGCGUAACUACAUAAGAGGAACUAUACCAGGGCUUCCCUGGUGGCGCAGUGGUUGAGAAUCCGCCUGCCGAUGCAGGGGACACGGGUUCGUGCCCCGGUCCGGGAGGAUCCCAC